RNAcentral lists this ribosomal RNA (468 nucleotides) under uncultured bacterium. RNAcentral's name for it is "partial 16S ribosomal RNA". It matches the Rfam family "Bacterial small subunit ribosomal RNA", at positions 28 to 507 of the family's 1533-position model. The record is from RNAcentral.
GACGAACGCUGGCGGCGUGCUUAACACACGCAAGUCGAACGGAAAGGCCCUGCUUUUGUGGGGUGCUCGAGUGGCGAACGGGUGAGUAACACGUGAGUAACCUGCCCUUGACUUUGGGAUAACUUCAGGAAACUGGGGCUAAUACCGGAUAGGAGCUCCUGCUGCAUGGUGGGGGUUGGAAAGUUUCGGCGGUUGGGGAUGGACUCGCGGCUUAUCAGCUUGUUGGUGGGGUAGUGGCUUACCAAGGCUUUGACGGGUAGCCGGCCUGAGAGGGUGACCGGCCACAUUGGGACUGAGAUGCGGCCCAGACUCCUACGGGAGGCAGCAGUGGGGAAUAUUGCACAAUGGGCGGAAGCCUGAUGCAGCAACGCCGCGUGCGGGAUGACGGCCUUCGGGUUGUAAACCGCUUUCGCCUGUGACGAAGCGUGAGUGACGGUAAUGGGUAAAGAAGCACCGGCUAACUACGUG